GACGAACGCUGGCGGCGUGCUUAACACAUGCAAGUCGAACGGUGAAGGGACCAGCUUGCUGGUUCUGGAUGAGUGGCGAACGGGUGAGUAACACGUGAGUAACCUGCCCCCUUCUUCUGGAUAACCGCAUGAAAGUGUGGCUAAUACGGGAUAUUCUGGGUCUGUCGCAUGGCGGGCCCGGGAAAGAUAUUGCUUCGGUGGGGGAUGGGCUCGCGGCCUAUCAGCUUGUUGGUGGGGUGAUGGCCUACCAAGGCGGUGACGGGUAGCCGGCCUGAGAGGGGGGACGGUCACACUGGGACUGAGACACGGCCCAGACGCCUAGGGGAGGCAGGAGUGGGGAAUAUUGCACGAUGGGCGCAAGCCUGAUGCAGCGACGCCGCGUGAGGGAUGGAGGCCUUCGGGUUGUAAACCUCUUUCGCCAGUGAAGCAGGCCUGCUCCUUGUGGGUGGGUUGACGGUAGCUGGAUAAGAAGCGCCGGCUAACUACGUG
Molecule: ribosomal RNA, 489 nt
Filed under: uncultured bacterium
Lineage: Bacteria
Description: partial 16S ribosomal RNA
Rfam family: Bacterial small subunit ribosomal RNA
Source: RNAcentral